GCCUGGCUAGCUCAAUCGGUAGAGCGUGAGACUCUUAAACCAGCUAUCUCAAGGUUGUGGGUUCGACCCCCACGUUAGGCU
This 81-nucleotide transfer RNA is filed under the name Rhizoctonia solani 123E. It matches the Rfam family "tRNA". Rfam says of the family: Transfer RNA (tRNA) molecules are approximately 80 nucleotides in length. Their secondary structure includes four short double-helical elements and three loops (D, anti-codon, and T loops). The record is from Rfam by way of RNAcentral. Lineage: Eukaryota; Fungi; Basidiomycota; Agaricomycetes; Cantharellales; Ceratobasidiaceae.